GAAAAAUAGUUUGAUUACAAUCAAAUGAGUUAAAAUAUGGCUCAAAUCAUCCCGUUUCUUGGUGCUUUGAUCAUCUUUCUUUCUCUAUUUUUGGUUGAAAGCAAACAAACUAAUAUUCCUUGUAAGUCUGCAGAAGAUUGUCCUAAACCGAUAUAUCCUAGAUAUGUUCUGUGCUCUUAUGGUUUUUGUCGGAUUUUUUUUCCAUGAUCAUAAAAUUUAUAAUUAAUAAACUUUCCUUAAAUCAUAUAAUAUAAUUGUACCUUUAUUAUGGGAUAAUAAAUUUAAAAAUAAUUAUGUUUCCUAAAUUCAUAUAAUAAUGUUUGCUUUAUAUUUCUGUUGUUGUUGUAAAUCCCUAAGGCUAGUUAUUUUUUAGAACUUGGCACUUGUAUCAAAUAUUUAUUUAUUAAACAAAAGGCAAUUAUGUAUUAUGUUUAUGAUUUUAAGGUAAUAAAAUCCAUAGAAUAGUUUGUUCUUUUGAAAA
Medicago truncatula (barrel medic) is the source of this 481-nucleotide long non-coding RNA. RefSeq lists it as uncharacterized. Lineage: Eukaryota; Viridiplantae; Streptophyta; Magnoliopsida; Fabales; Fabaceae. The record is from RefSeq and is a predicted model, not a curated record. The transcript has 2 exons.